CGGGUGAGUAACGCGUAGGUAACCUGCCUUGUAGCGGGGGAUAACUAUUGGAAACGAUAGCUAAUACCGCAUAACAAUGGAUGACCCAUGUCAUUUAUUUGAAAGGGGCAAAUGCUCCACUACAAGAUGGACCUGCGUUGUAUUAGCUAGUAGGUGAGGUAACGGCUCACCUAGGCGACGAUACAUAGCCGACCUGAGAGGGUGAUCGGCCACACUGGGACUGAGACACGGCCCAGACUCCUACGGGAGGCAGCAUG
Molecule: ribosomal RNA, 257 nt
Filed under: uncultured bacterium
Lineage: Bacteria
Description: partial 16S ribosomal RNA
Rfam family: Bacterial small subunit ribosomal RNA
Source: RNAcentral